GUUUCAAUCCUCUUGUAUGGCUGUGUGCACGGACUGGGAUCUGGAAAGUCUGGACUCAUCGAUGAGCUGGGCAAGAGACAACGCAGCAUGUCCCAAGAGCUGACGGAGAUAUACGAAGCAGUGUCUGAGCUUCAACAAGACAUGGAGAAACUCCAAGAAAUUGGCGGAAACGAGACAAAC
This is a long non-coding RNA of Haliotis rubra (blacklip abalone), 180 nucleotides long. RefSeq lists it as uncharacterized. The record is from RefSeq and is a predicted model, not a curated record. The transcript is spliced from 3 exons. NCBI's taxonomy places the organism in Eukaryota, Metazoa, Mollusca, Gastropoda, Lepetellida, Haliotidae.